UACACUCCUGCGGGAGGCAGCAGUGGGGAAUAUUGGACAAUGGGCGCAAGCCUGAUCCAGCCAUGCCGCGUGAGUGAUGAAGGCCCUAGGGUUGUAAAGCUCUUUCACCGGUGAAGAUAAUGACGGUAACCGGAGAAGAAGCCCCGGCUAACUUCGUGCCAGCAGCCGCGGUAAUACGAAGGGGGCUAGCGUUGUUCGGAUUUACUGGGCGUAAAGCGCACGUAGGCGGACUAUUAAGUCAGGGGUGAAAUCCCGGGGCUCAACCCCGGAACUGCCUUUGAUACUGGUAGUCUUGAGUUCGAGAGAGGUGAGGGGAAUUCCGAGUGUAGAGGUGAAAUUCGUAGAUAUUCGGAGGAACACCAGUGGCGAAGGCGGCUCACUGGCUCGAUACUGACGCUGAGGUGCGAAAGCGUGGGGAGCAAAUAGGAUUAGAAACCCUUGUAGUCCCAUGA
RNAcentral lists this ribosomal RNA (452 nucleotides) under uncultured organism. RNAcentral describes it as "partial 16S ribosomal RNA". It matches the Rfam family "Bacterial small subunit ribosomal RNA", at positions 332 to 800 of the family's 1533-position model. The record is from RNAcentral.